This is a long non-coding RNA of Poecile atricapillus (Black-capped chickadee), 1124 nucleotides long. RefSeq lists it as uncharacterized. The transcript is spliced from 3 exons. The record is from RefSeq and is a predicted model, not a curated record. Lineage: Eukaryota; Metazoa; Chordata; Aves; Passeriformes; Paridae.
CGUGGGGAGGGAGUGAGCGGGGCGGUGUCUGUAAAUAGCAGGGAGGGGUGAAAGAGAGUUAAGGGUGUAAAGUGACACGGCCGGGCUCGAGCAGGGACACGGCACUAAAAGGAGAGGCUGCCGUGCAGGCCGGCGGCUGAGAACAAUGACAGCAGUGGACCCUGCGAGCGCCCCUGGCUCCGCCCACCUGAGCGCCUCGCGCUCCCAUGGGCCGCAGACUCAAAGCUUCCACCAAUCCCGGCCCGCCUUGCUCCGCUCUGGCCAAUCACAGCCGCCCUUUGAAUCCGGGCACGGUCCCGCCAAUCUCAGCUCACUCAGUCGCGGCCCAGCGCCUCAGGCAGCCCGGCCCCGCUCCCCCGUUCUGCUGAGGCGCCGCUCCAGCCGCUGUCGCUCUGGGAGCUGGCGGAGCCGUGCUGCCGCAGCCCCGGCAGCCCCGGGCUGCAGUGAGAAGCAGGAGCAGCUUUCAGCCACCGGCAGUGGGAAGCUGAGGAGCUGGAACUGAGGAAGCAGAGCUGGAGGAGACACAAAUAUGGGCCAAAUACAAGUGACAAAAUAACAUUGGCAUGCAUCUCCUGGAGGAGAGGAGUUUCUGGUGGGCUCCCAGUGGCAUCUCAUGGAGUGACGGUGAGAGCAUCUCAUAGGGUCUGGGGGAGCACCUGGAUGCACUUGGACCCGGAGCACCGCUUAAAGGAGGUGGUGAGGGACAAAGCUUUUUGCCAGGAAGCAGCACUUGAACAGCUGAGCCGGUGUGGAUUUGCAGGGGUGAUCUUUCUCCUUUUCCCUUUUGAUUUCACUUUGGCAGUCCCUCCCCGGUGCCCUCAAUCUGUCACAAGAAUUCCAAGAAAAAAAAAGGCUGAGCAAACAGUGAAAAGAAGGGGUAUAGGUAAGGUGGAGUUCAGGUGUACCCCACCCCAAACCCUAAACAGCAGCCCUAACAGUACCACCAUUUACCUGAGGCAGCUGCAGGCAGGAACCCUAAAGCAGCAGAGUGCCAGAACCCCUGGUACUGCAGACAGUACCCCUGGUGCUAGGGUCAGCCAGGAGAUAGUGGGGGGACGAUCCGUAGGGUUGGGGAAACAGGGGGUUUCCCGCCCCGCCCCACCCUGGGCUCUCGGUCCCUCCGC